UACAGAGGUCUCAAGCGUUGUUCGGAUUCAUUGGGCGUAAAGGGUGCGUAGGUGGUGAUGCAAGUCUGGUGUGAAAUCUCGGAGCUCAACUCCGAAAUUGCACCGGAUACUGCGUGACUCGAGGACUGUAGAGGAGAUCGGAAUUCACGGUGUAGCAGUGAAAUGCGUAGAUAUCGUGAGGAAGACCAGUUGCGAAGGCGGAUCUCUGGGCAGUUCCUGACACUGAGGCACGAAGGCCGGGGGAGCAAACGGG
RNAcentral lists this ribosomal RNA (253 nucleotides) under uncultured bacterium. RNAcentral describes it as "partial 16S ribosomal RNA". It matches the Rfam family "Bacterial small subunit ribosomal RNA", at positions 524 to 776 of the family's 1533-position model. The record is from RNAcentral.